RNAcentral lists this ribosomal RNA (597 nucleotides) under Brachyura sp. 1 KYKC-2019. RNAcentral describes it as "partial small subunit ribosomal RNA". The record is from RNAcentral. Lineage: Eukaryota; Metazoa; Arthropoda; Malacostraca; Decapoda.
GUUGCCAGCCCACUGCGGUUAAACUUGAAGAACUAGUAAAAUCUUUUUAGUUUAUAGUUAAAUUGUUGAAUUUAUAUAUUUGUGGAAAUAAAAAGUGAAAUUGAAUAUUAAAAAUAAAUAAUCAAAAAUUUAAAAUUGAAGCUAGAAAAAUUCAGAGAUAAACCAGGAUUAGAUACCCUGUUAUACUGUAARYKYAWUAWWWWAAACUAAAUAAUUAAAAGUUAAAUUCUUAAAAAUUUAAAAUUUGGCGGUAAUUUAGUCUUGUCGGAGGAACCUGUUUUUUAAUCGAUAAUCCACGUUACUUUUUACUUAUUUUUAUUAAGUUUGUAUACCAUCAUUAUCAGAUAAUUUUUAUAAAAAAUUGUUGUAAUUUAUUGAAUAAUAAAGAAAAUUAGAUCAAGGUGCAGCUGAUGAAUAAGUUAAAAUGGGUUACAAUAAGUGUUACUUAUACGAAUUAAUUUACUAAUAGAAAUUAUGAAGGAGGAUUCGAUUGUAAUUUAAUUUUAAAAGUUUAAUUGAUAUAAGCACUAAAUUAUGUACAUAUCGCCCGUCGCYUUYMYYAAUAUGAUGAGAUAAGCGAAAAAAAAAGUAAAAAUG